GACGAACGCUGGCGGCGUGCUUAACACAUGCAAGUCGAACGCUGAAGCUCAGCUUUUGUUGGGUGGAUGAGUGGCGAACGGGUGAGUAACACGUGAGUAACCUGCCUCCUUCUUUGGGAUAACGCCCGGAAACGGGUGCUAAUACUGGAUAUUCACUGGUCUUCGCAUGGGGGUUGGUGGAAAGGGUUUUUCUGGUGGGGGAUGGGCUCGCGGCCUAUCAGCUUGUUGGUGGGGUGAUGGCCUACCAAGGCUUUGACGGGUAGCCGGCCUGAGAGGGUGACCGGUCACAUUGGGACUGAGAUACGGCCCAGACUCCUACGGGAGGCAGCAGUGGGGAAUAUUGCACAAUGGGCGCAAGCCUGAUGCAGCGACGCCGCGUGAGGGAUGGAGGCCUUCGGGUUGUGAACCUCUUUCGCUCAUGGCCAAGCCGCAACAAUGGUUGUGGUGAGGGUAGUGGGUAAAGAAGCGCCGGCUAACUACGUG
This 483-nucleotide ribosomal RNA is filed under the name uncultured bacterium. RNAcentral describes it as "partial 16S ribosomal RNA". It matches the Rfam family "Bacterial small subunit ribosomal RNA", at positions 28 to 507 of the family's 1533-position model. The record is from RNAcentral.